AACGAACGCUGGCGGCAGGCUUAACACAUGCAAGUCGAACGCGUGUAGCAAUACGUUAGUGGCAGACGGGUGAGUAACGCGUGGGAAUAUGCCCUUAGUUCGGAAUAACCAAGGGAAACUUUGGCUAAUACCGGAUAAUCCCGAGAGGGGAAAGAUUUAUCGCUGAAGGAGUAGCCCGCGUCUGAUUAGCUAGUUGGUGAGGUAAUGGCUCACCAAGGCGACGAUCAGUAGCUGGUCUGAGAGGAUGAUCAGCCACACUGGGACUGAGACACGGCCCAGACUCCUACGGGAGGCAGCAGUGGGGAAUAUUGGACAAUGGGGGCAACCCUGAUCCAGCCAUGCCGCGUGAGUGAUGAAGGCCUUAGGGUUGUAAAACUCUUUUAUCCGGGAAGAUAAUGACUGUACCGGAAGAAUAAGCCCCGGCUAACUUCGUGCCAGCAGCCGCCGUAA
RNAcentral lists this ribosomal RNA (450 nucleotides) under uncultured bacterium. Its description in RNAcentral is "partial 16S ribosomal RNA". It matches the Rfam family "Bacterial small subunit ribosomal RNA", at positions 29 to 523 of the family's 1533-position model. The record is from RNAcentral.